GAGCCGUUAGAGAAAUGGAAUAUCACGUGCCUCUCAAGCACGAGUUGUAGGUUCGAAUCCUAUACAGCUUGCCA
RNAcentral lists this transfer RNA (74 nucleotides) under Campylobacterales bacterium. RNAcentral's name for it is "tRNA-Glu". It matches the Rfam family "tRNA". Rfam says of the family: Transfer RNA (tRNA) molecules are approximately 80 nucleotides in length. The record is from RNAcentral. Lineage: Bacteria; Pseudomonadati; Campylobacterota; Epsilonproteobacteria; Campylobacterales.